RNAcentral lists this ribosomal RNA (253 nucleotides) under uncultured bacterium. RNAcentral's name for it is "partial 16S ribosomal RNA". It matches the Rfam family "Bacterial small subunit ribosomal RNA", at positions 524 to 776 of the family's 1533-position model. The record is from RNAcentral.
UACGGAGGGGGCAAGCGUUAUUCGGAAUCAUUGGGCGUAAAGGGCGCGUAGGCGGCUUGGCAAGUCAAAGGUGAAAUCCCUCGGCCUAACCGAGGAACUGCCUUUGAUACUGCUUCGCUUGAGGCCGGGAGAGGGUAGCGGAAUUCCCAGUGUAGCGGUGAAAUGCGUAGAUAUUGGGAGGAACACCAGUGGCGAAGGCGGCUACCUGGACCGGUUCUGACGCUGAUGCGCGAAAGCGUGGGGAGCAAACAGG